This 221-nucleotide long non-coding RNA is filed under the name Sorghum bicolor (sorghum). RNAcentral's name for it is "long non-coding RNA (SBIC_LNC005129)". Lineage: Eukaryota; Viridiplantae; Streptophyta; Magnoliopsida; Poales; Poaceae. The record is from RNAcentral.
UUUAGCAUUGCUUAGCAUUUCUAGAGCCAUUGCUCAGGGUAGCCUGACACCCUAUCCUAGUAAUAGCUUAGGCUUGCAUUUAAGCAGUGCUGGUUAGGCGCCACCAUUUCUAGAUACUUGUCACAUCUUACUCUAGCCGGUGUGCAUUAAGUUUUGCCAACAAUGCAUGCACGGUCCCCGUCUCCGGGACCAACUGAAUCGUCCACAGAAUGAAACCCCAC